AUCCGUUAGAUUUUACCGAGCUCCACGAUGUUGGUAUGAUUCUGCAGAGCCAUAUGAUGGCCAGGUACAUUUUUACUAAGCCUAUUACGGCCGGGUAAGAUAUGGUGAUGAUGAUGCCCACAGAGGCGUAUGUUUUUAAAAGUUCAUGUAUUUAUACAUAUGUAUCAUGCAUUUCAUGUCAGUAUCCCUCAUGGGUACUCAGAUGUUACAGGUUGUAUCUUCUCUAUCCUUGCAACAUUACAGUUCGUA
Molecule: long non-coding RNA, 249 nt
Filed under: Nicotiana benthamiana
Lineage: Eukaryota; Viridiplantae; Streptophyta; Magnoliopsida; Solanales; Solanaceae
Description: long non-coding RNA (NBEN_LNC018747)
Source: RNAcentral